AAAGUCGUAACAAGGUUUCCGUAGGUGAACCUGCGGAAGGAUCAUUAGUGAGUGAUGUUGUGGCGUUUGCUGCGACGAUACUUGCUCUCGCAAGAGAGUGAGCAGGGUGUUAGUUGGUGAUGGUGGAGUGGUAGGGUGUGGUAUUGCGUGUUUUGCCAAGUGCAAGAUGGGCAAUACUGCAUAACUGCUUCCCAUCACGGAAACUGCACUUGAAACGUAUGUCAUGAACUAGCCAUCAACCAAACAAUAUAAAAAUUACUUUUAACAACGGAUCUCUGGGCUCCC
This 285-nucleotide unclassified non-coding RNA is filed under the name Basidiomycota sp. Its description in RNAcentral is "partial contains small subunit ribosomal RNA and internal transcribed spacer 1". The stretch from base 1 to 47 matches the Rfam family "Eukaryotic small subunit ribosomal RNA", at positions 1785 to 1831 of the family's 1831-position model. The record is from RNAcentral. Lineage: Eukaryota; Fungi; Basidiomycota.